UUCAUUUCAAGGUAACUGUAGCUGAACUUGUGUUGUGUUGAUACUGAACUUGUGUUUUGGCUGAUUCUAAACUGAUGUGUAUCCAACAUUGGUGUUUAAACAAUUCUUGGUCCAUUGACUGUCUGAACUUGCAACCUUAUUGCCUUCAACUAUGGUCUAAAAAAACUGAACUCAUGCAGGUACUUGGUGGUGCAGACUUGGUAGCGGUGAUAUUUUGGUUCACUUUAGAGUUUGCAAAUGAAGAUUUCAAACAGCAAUCUCUAAAUAUUUUCUUGAUCACUAAACAAGACCAAUUUUAGCAUGUUUCCUGAAAUAUUUUAGCAUGUUUUAUGUUUCCAUUUACAAGUUCACACACUACUAUCUCGGGCGUUCAAACAUUUGUUUCCCUGAUGUUCAGAUAUUAUCAUCUAGGAGGAAUACAUGUUGUAACUUCGGGAGAAAAUGUUCAUGUUGAUUACUCCUAUCAAGUGUAAAAUUUCGCCAAUAUACAAUCUAUAAGUUCAAUAUCGAGUACAUUGGUUUAGUAGUUGGUACUAACUACUCCAGUUUUUUUCUUGAUGUACCUGUGGUGUCUAGUUUUUUUUUCAGUUCAAUUUCUAAAUUUCAGCCAGUUCAGUUCGUAUUGUAGCUCCACUUUAGUCCACGUGGUCAAUUGUUGGCUGGUAUGUAUGCAGGGUACCGUGACAUUGAGUAGGCGCGAAGUAUAUCACUCUAGCAUGCCAUGCUCCAGUGCAUGUCAACGUCUUCUCCACUGCAAUGGAAGCUGCAGAUUUUGCUCUGCUCUACUUGCCUUGCUAGUGUUCACUUUAAUGCCUCAAAGGUGCAUUGUGCAUCUUUUGCACUCUAAAGAAAGAGCUUGAUUAGUCUGUUUCUACUAUUAGUUCAUGCAAACCUGGUUAUAUGAUGUCUUUUUUUUCAUUGUUACUCGAUGUCUCAUUUUCUUGUUUUCUGUUAUAUUUUUCUAGGGAAGGUUCUUGUAAUUAUUAGUUCUUUGAUUGUAUGAUGCAACCGCUUACUCGAUGUCGUUGUCAUUGUUCUUCUAGUUGCAUAUAUGGAAGUGUGUGCUUGGUUUGGUUCCAUUUAUCUUUCUCUCAUGCCUGCCCUUUUGAUCUUAUAGGAAUUGAGGCUUCGCCAAGGAACAAGACUGGUAACUAGCGCAAAGGAGACCAUGUCGAGAGGUGGCACUACUAGACUUUCUGAUGUGUAGUUAUGGCAUAAAAAGACGAAAAAAUGGUGUCCAUAAGGUGUACGUAGCAAAUCUUCCCAUGUGGAUCAGUACAACUUAUGUAUGGCCUUGAGUUCACAAAUCUUAUAGUAAUCUUUGUAGCUCUUCGUAAAACUUCGUAAAGCAAGAUUGGCCCUUUUUUGUGAACAACAAUUCAAACAGAAAUCUGUUGUAUCAGUUCUUGUGAUAGAUAGAAGAAAGUUCACUAGCCAAAAGGUUAAAGAAGUCUACCUAAUAAUUUGCAAAUAUUAAAGAUAAUGAUCAGUUUGAAUUAAAAACGGUUUGCAUUAAAAACAAAUGAUCGGAUCAAAUUAAAAACAACGAUCAGUUUGAAUAAAAAAAUCUAAAUUAAAAACAAUGAUCAAUUUGGAUUAAAAAUAAAUAAAUGAUCAGUUCAAACAAGAAACAAUUAUCAAUUUGAAUUAAAAAUAAGAAAGAAAAAAACGUUUCCAAAAAAUAAAAAUGCGGAAGUGUGAAGUGCAAAUAAUGACAUGUCCAAUGUUUCAGCAACGACUGAAUGCAAAAAAUCCAGGAAAUUCAAAAACCCCACAAAAACUCAUAUGUAAAAGUUCAAGUCGCAAAGCGAGAGAAGUACAAAGCACAGUUGCAAAAAAAGAGUUAAAAAAUAAACACACAAAAUAUUUUCUUUUUGAAAAAAUAUCAUUCAGUUCAACGAUAUAAACCAUACAAGUUCAAGGACGAUGAUAACAUAAGCCGUUGAAAAGUAUGAGGAUAACCAUACUGAAAAAACAUAAUAAAGUCCAAUCUAUGAAAAUAGCUCAGUACACACACACAUAGAUCAAUACAAACUAUCUAGUACCGUAAGUGCCAUAAAUUAAAAAUUAAAAAUUAAAAAUUGCAUCAGAUCUGACUCAAGGGACAAUAAAUUUGCAAAAAGAAAAUUGUAGCAGUAAAACUUUGGAGGGAAAAAAAAUUCAUAAAUGGAAAAAACUGUACAAAAGUCGUAUGUUCAAACAUGACGUCUCAGAUAAGUUUGGGAAAAAGCUCAAACAAAAUAAAAACCCACGAAAAUUCAAAUGGUAAAAGUUCAAGUCGCAAAAUGCGAGAAGUCCAAAACAUCGUUGUAAAAAAAUUGAGUUGAAAAAAAGAAACACACAAAAUAUUUUCUUUUAAAAAAAUAUCAUUCAGUUCAAUGAUAUAAAACAUGCAAGUUCGAGGACUAUGAUACCGUAAAUCAUUGAAAAGUUACGAGGAAAAGCCAUACCAAAAAAAAAGAGUAAAGUCUAGUCUGCGAAAACACACUCAGUACAAACCCAUACACGGACAUCAGUUCAAGUACUUUUUUUCGGAACCAUUCAAAAUUACUCUGUAAAAAAAAUCUCCUCAGUACAAACACACACAGAGAUCAGUACGAGUACUCUGUUUUUUCUGACGGGAAAACAACAUGAAGGGUCUCACCAUAUUUCAAAUUAGUCUUCAUCAGUUGCGAAUUGAAGAAAACGUUCAAAAAUGACUAAGAUUCACAUUUUCAAUAGCUUUGCGUAGACGUUAAACUAAAAUCUUUGGCCUCUUUGAAAGUUUUGCAUUUGACAAUUCUUUAUGAAAUUUUGUUACACACCUACUGUGAAAGUUUCCCAGAAUACGAGCUGCCAUUUUAUAGCUCGUAUGGUGCUCAGUCUCAUGUCAAAAUAUGGUACUAAGUAACUAUCGUUAGCACUAGAUCAAAUACUACUAUAGUAGCUCCACCAGCAACAACAUAGUGCAGGAUAAUUAAUUAGCCACGUAAUCUCCUCAGCUCCACCGGCGACUGAGGUAUAUGAGUAUAUCUAUGAAUGAAAUGCGCCUAUGGCUUACAUUGCUUUGCAUAAAGUCAGAGCUUGAACCUAAAAAAUUCUCACUAUACGCUCCUAGUCAACUUUGGAUGAGUCCAGGUCCAGCUCCAUACAGAGCGCUUUGAAAAGGAUCCGCCUGUGGAGUAGUAGGCCUGCCUGCCAAUCCUCCCUUCCAGAUCAAUAUUCAUCGCUGCCAUCAUGGCUGAAUAAAUCAAAGAAUGUUCAAACUAGGAGCCACAGUUCAUUCGAUCCAAAGUCUCUAGUGUCGGAUCAGAUCCCAUCGAUCGCCCGCACUGUGUUGAAAGCAAGAAAUCCUUCCCUGGCCAGUCAAAGCUUGUUGGAUUCGAUUGAUUCGACAAGUCACGACAAAAAGAUAGGGCGAUUCGAUUCGUUUCGUUUCAAGGUGCAAACACAAAGCAGCGGAGCCUGUCGCCGGCCCGACCGCCCCCUCCCACUCUGGCAGGACCCGCCACCGCCCUCUGCCUUUCCCUUCCCAAGAUGGUAAGGCAAACGAAAUCAGUUGAGUGGUCACUCAAUCCUUUCGACUUGCAUGUGGUAGCUGCUUCGUCCGUGCUGCUGGCGCUGAGGCGGACGCCGGUGUCGCGAGUGGCCGCCGUCUUCUCCGGCCAGCUCCGCGCAUGCCCUCGGGGCGAGCUGCGCCCUCUACGGCCGGAGCUCGCCGCUGCCCUCCUCGCCCCGGCGCCGCUCGCUGCAGGCCGCCUCUGCUCCAGCCUCGCGCAUGUACGCACACACGCCACACUUCUCUCCACCAUACAAGCUCCAGCAGCGCCGUCGCCGUCGCCUGCGCCCCGACGGCCAUCGCCGCGCCUAGGGUAGGGCAUGGGUUGCCGGGAGGGCUCGGCCAGAAGCAACUCGGUCGACAGCUGAGUGGCCGGCUGAACGGGGAGAGAGCAGGAGGGGGCUCUUAUUUGCACUUUUAAUACAACACGAUCAGUUCAACGAAAUGAUAGAAUCAGUACAACUGAUCGAAUUCAUCAGUUCAAAAAGGGUAACAGAAUAAUAUUCUGUUACGCGUAACAGAAUAACCUAGAUGUGUGUGUGUGUGUGUCUAUAUAUAUAUAUAUAUAUAUAUAUAUAUAUAUAUAUAUAUAUGAGUUUGUGUCGCAAUUCUUCAAGUUGUUUUUUUUGCUAAGUGAAUGUGAUCGGACCCUUAUCCCCCUCUAUGCUAAACUCAACCCAGUCUAUUCACAAAUUCUUCAUGUGCGUUCUAUUUGAAACUCAUUCAAAUUCUUUGUUGUGUCCUUGUCAUCUGAAGAAAUUGCGAACGACACUUUAAAAUAUUCUUAUCUAAAUUUUCGGCUUUUGCCGCUCAAACCGUUACGCAUUCCACGAUAUACUUAUCUAUUCACUCAUGAUCUCACACGAUCUCCACCUCUCAGUACGCGGGUGACACAUGUCACGCGAAUGAGAAGGGUCAAGGGAACAUUCGUCCAAUUUCCUCGGGCGAACGAUUUUUCACCUCAGCUAUAAAUACCCCCUCCCCUCCUCACUUCGUUUUUACUCCGCUCGACCUCACUCCCUCGCUCGAGCUUCUCAAAACCUAGCGCCGCCACUACCUCCAUCGUCGCCGGUGAGGAAGAGCUUCACUGCCUCGACCUCGUCAUCGUCAUACUCAUGCCGGCCGCGGAAAUCUUCCUUCCGCCGCCGCCGUAGACAUCUUCCUCCGCCAAGUUAGGGCGUGGAAGAUCCGAGCCGACAAACUUAUAAAUCUACACCUCUUGUUCGUCGUGUUCUUCACGAAGGGUAAUUAAAAGUUACUUCUACCGUAUUUAUUCUACUAAUGAUUUUCACCAGACCUUCAAAAGGUGUUUAUUCUUCAACCUCCACACUCUAAACACCUAGCAAAAAUCUUCAGUUCUUGAUCUGUUUCUCUAAGUGACGUUUUUCUUCAUUAUUCCUCAAUUGUGUGAAUCUCACGAUCCGCACAACUCUGGAACCUAAGUCAAAGAACGCUUAGUGAAAUUCUUCAAGACACAUCGGGUUAAUUUCCUCAAACUUGUUCAGUUUUGCAAAAUCUUCUGAGAACGCAUAUGACCUCUCCAAAUUCUUCGCACCUAUACUCUGUUCACAGGUACACAUUUUUGCUGCUGGAUCACUAGGUUCUCAUCAACUUAACUCAUUUGCAGCGUUCCUUGAAGAAAAGUUGCAUACUUCUUCAGAGAACUCAAUUGUGCAAAUUCCUCAGCUGAAGAAAAUGGCAGAUGGUAAAAGGCCUCAGAAAGGAGGAAAGAAGCUUGAAGUCAAUACUGCCUUUGAGAUCCCUGAUGACAUCUAUGCAGGGUACUGCAUGCCUGAUGAGGCAACUCAUGGAAAGGAAACGAAGAAUGACCGCAAGGUGCGCAUACAGAGGAUUGAAAGAAGAUGGGCAAGAGAAUGGAGGGAGUAUAGAUGUGUCACUCCCAAAUACAUGAAGAAAUUCGCUCUUAACCCUCCAUGCUCAAGACCUCCUCUGGCACCUGGCCAAAGAGCUGAUCCAACAAGCCUUAAACGUGGUGAGGAUUAUGCGGAUGAAUGGGCCAAGCGGCAAGCUAAGUUGGCCAAACAUGCCAAAGAAGCAGUGAAGAAAUUUAAUGAGGAUUCUCCUGCUGCCGCUGCUGCUCCUAAGGCUUCUUCAAGCAAGAAGGCUGUGCCAAAGAAGCCAGCCAUGAAACCAACUUCCUCAGCAAUGCCAUCACGGCCAAGUUCUUCUUCAAUGCUCUCACGGCCAAUCUCCUCAGUGCCACCAAGGCAAAUUCCUCAAGCUACACCAGUUCCUCAAGCUGCUCAAAUUCCUUGGGCUUCAAAACCCUCAGCUCCUCCGACAAAGUCCUCAACACCUGUGCACCUCGCCACAUGCCAAAGGACCACUGGCAUAUGAAUUGCCUCAGGAGCUUCAAAAAUUUCUUCAGCUCACCCUUCAUCAACCGGUCCCACACUAUUGAAGACUAGGGCCACUGCUGGACGAGGCACUAGACCAAGUCCUCACAAGAAGCAGGUGGUCUUUCAAACUCCAUCUGAUGAUGAGCCUGAUGGUGAUGAAUUAGCUGAUAUCAUUAAGGACAGACAGUAGCGGGCCGCUAGAGCCGAAGGGAGUGAUGUGCCCCUUCUACUGGAUCCGAAGAAGAUCCUGGAUUUCAUCGAUCUCUGGCACAAAGAUCCCAAUGCUCCAAUGCCAGAGUUGGGCCUCAAUCCUAGACAAAGUCACAUGGUGACGGCCUUCAUAGCUGAAGAGAAAUGGAAAUAUGAUCAAGCCAGAGUGACUAAGAAAGCGCAGUACAAGAAGCAGCGCUACCUAAAGGACAAUGUCCUCAGCCUAUCGCCUGAACAACUCCUCGCUCUGCAAGCUGAUAUCAAAUAGCUCAACGAUGAAUUUGACGCCUACAAAGCAGAAUGGCAGGGUGCCAAAGUCAGAUUCGUCAAGCCGACGAAGAAAAUCACUUCAAGUGAUGCUGUUCCUGUGCACAUUGAAGUCAUUCCAGCUGAAGCAUCUGCACAAGCCACAGAGGGAAAUGCCAGCACCGCUAAUGAAAAUCAGGCUGCUGAUGAAACUGCAAGUACCAGGGCUGCUAAAGAAAUUCCAUCCUCUGAAGAAACUGCCAGGGCAACCACUAGUGUUGCACCUGAAGAAUCUGCCAGGCCAGCUGAAGACUCUGUUGCUGCGCCUGAAGAAAUUGCUCAAGACAGGCUAACUGCAUCAGUUGUGCCUGAAGAAACUGAUCCUACUCCCAUGGCUCCGCCUGCACCAACACCAAGCCCAAUUCUUCCUUCUGCUCUGGAAGUGAAGAAAACCAAAGCAGCGGAGCGAGCUGCUUUGAAGAAGAGGAAAGCAUCAGCUACCUUAGAAUAUUCGGCCCCCAAGAAGGCGAAGAUUUUGACAAGUUCAAUUGACAAUCCCAUUGAUGAUGUCCCUCUUGCAAGCAUGCCAUCAAAGCAACUUGUUCCUUAUGGUAAAGAAUAUCAGAUUCCUGAAGAAUCUGCUGAAGAAGAUCCCUCUGAUGCUUCCAUAGAGCAGAUGGAUGAAGAAAUUGAAGUUGGGACUUUCACUUCAACUCCUCAAGUAUCAUCGCCAACACCUCAGUUUACUGCUGAAGAGGCCGGCGUUGAAGAAAUGUAAGUGGAUGAGGAUGUGGACAUUGGAUGGACCACUCCAGUGAUGAACGAUGCUUUUUGGGAUAGUCAACACCCCAACACUCCUAUGUUCACACCACUACAGCAAAUUCCUCAGUCCCCAGCACCAACAGAAGUUCAGAUGGGCUCUGAAGAAAUACACACUACCCCUUCCAUUCAUGAAGAAAUUCCAGCCACUAGUGCUGAUGAAAAUGCUGCUGAAGAAAUGGAGGCCCAGGCUGCAAAUGAAGCAGAAACUGAAAUUCCUCAGCCUGCGGCUCUAGAAAUUGACAUACCAGAGGAUAUUCUUCAGAUCAUUGACACUCCUCACCCACAAUAGAAGAAUCCGUUCUCCAAAACUCCAAAGUUCAAGGCUGAUGCCUUCUUCAAUGAGCAUGUAUUCUUCACCGAUUACAAUCCCUAUGAUUCUGCUCGUCUGAGGAGGAAGCGCUUCUGGACAGCCAGUCAAGCAAAUUUCUAUUCUUUAGUGCUAUUCAACAAGGAUAAAGUCUUCGACCAUGAGCAUAUUCCUCACUUGGAUAUAGAAUCACUGCCUUGCUUCACGCCAGUCCUUGAUGCCAUUCAUGAUGCUGGCCUGCUCAAUUUCUGCACUGACAUAUGAGAUUGGAAUGAAGAACUUAUUCUUCAAUUCUAUGCGACGCUGCACAUCACCGGCAAUGUUGAAGAUGUGAACUCAUGGGUGUUGGACUGGAUGACGAAGAACACACACUAUAAGGCACCAGCCACUGAAUUGCUUCGUGCCAUGCCAGUCAGUCCUUCCCCAGAAGGUGCACGUCUCAUCUACUCUGAAACUGAGCUGUCAGAUCACUUCAUGCAAGUGUUAAUGAAGUCGUUGAAGCCUGGCCAAGCCUCAAGGACAAAAUUCCUUGUGAAGGAAUUGCAAUAUGUCCCAAGGACUGUCUAGCGCAUCCUAACAAAGACAUUGAGUCCAAUCAAAGGCCACGAUUCUAAUGAUGAAGAAGUCGUUGGCAUCAUGAAGAGUCUGCUUUUCAAUAUUGUACAUGGUAUUCCCGUGAACUACCAUGAUUUCUUCAUGAGGACUUUGGCAAACGUUGCAAUGUCCCCGUUUGAGUUGAAGCCUUAUGCUCCUUGGAUUAUGGGAUUCAUUAGAUCAAGGUCUUCACUCAAUUAAAAAGAUGAUACACUCAACCAUGGCAGCUACUUUCCCCCAAUUGAAGUCCUCAAGCGGACAUUUUCCUCAGCUGAUGAAAAGGGCAAGACCACUGCUAUUAUUGUUGAGGGUAUUCGACCAUUGGAUGGACAGUUUCGCAAAGCUGCUUCAUAUUCCACCAAUGAUGACUCUGCUACUCAUGAUUCUGACGCUAAUGCAUCAAAGCAAAGUCCUCAGGCAACAGCUCCAAGGGUGAUGACUGAUCGUGAGCUUCUCCUCAGUCUUCAUCAAAAGGUGGAUCGCAAUCAUAAAUGGGUAAAGCACCAGUUUGGUUCUAUUCUUCACAACAUGACUGCCACAUAUAAUUCAGUGAAGAAGAACCAUUACUACCUCAAUGAAGUUUUUGAUCGCACCUGGGCUAUUCUAUCUCAUCUCUAUGGUGAUGAGGAUCUCAAGCAGCUGAGCUUCAAGCAGGACUUCGGCUAGUCUAAGCCUCCUCCGAAGAAAUUUAAGAAGGUUGAAGUUCCUCCUCUGGUGCCCAGUUCAUAUUCCUCAUCCUGCGAUACUGAUGAAAAUGAAGAUCUGGACGACACUGCGGCAGGCACGGCUACAACAAAUGACCCCAACAACGCUGACGCUCCUCCAUCGACUUCGUGAUGAAAUUCUUCAGGGGUGUUAGUCCUCACUUUUCGUCCCUUUUGGUCCUUUGAUGACAAAGGGGGAGAAAUUUGAGUUAGUCUUCAAGAGGAUAUACAUAUAUAUAUAUAUAUAUAUAUAUAUAUAUAUAUGGGCAUUUUUUGUUAAGUUGCAACUCUCGCUCUUCUGAAGCUUUUGUUGAUUGAGUUGUAAACUUAAGUCCGAUGGUGACCUGAUACUUAUUCUCUGUUUUUUUCUGCAUGCUAUUUCCUCAUUAAUGUUAUGCACGCAUACUGAAUUACAUCAGUCACCAUAUUUCAUCAUGCAUUUCAAAUUCUUCAUUUCAUAUGUUAAAUGCGUGUGUGAAUUACAAGAUAUAGGGGGAGUUCACCAUGAUUCUACUCUUCAAAUGUACAUUGCUUCAAAAGCAAAUUCCUCAUUAUGCACAUCCACAGGGGGAGUUCUUCUAUAUCUUGCAAUCAAAUUCCUCAAUAUUGAGUACUUUCAAUUCAUAUGUUUAUCCCUGUUGGAAACUUAACCUAUAUUGUCAUCAAUCACCAAAAAGGGGGAGAUUGUAAGUGCAUCUAGUGCCCCUUAGUGAUUUUGGUGUACUGAAUACUUAUAGGUUAAGGGACUAAUAUGUUUGUGAGCGUACACAGGCUCUAUAAGUCAAUGAGGAGUUUGAUAUUUACAGUGAAGGUCGACCCCUAAAAAUGAAUGUCUUCGGCUGAAGACUUUGGUUCUCCUGAAGACUGUGAAAGUGAAGAAAUUGGUGUGACCUUGAAGACUUCGAUAUUCAUGCGAGGAAUCUAAAGCGUGAAGACUUUUGUUUUCGUAGUUUCUUUUUCUCUUUAUUUGAGUCAUAGGAAACACUGUACUAUUAAAGGGGGUCGAGGUAAUAAUAAGGAAACUGAUUUCCAAGUGAUGCUCAUCUCAAAAUCCUACACCUACCCAAUCCUUCAAGUGAAGCCAUUGGAAAUCUCAUAUCAGUUCAGUCAAUUUCUUUAGUGACAGAGAUGAAGAUCUUCUGGUCUCUGAGGAAUUUGUUCUGACUGAGGAGUUAGGAAUUCGCCAGUGCGAAUUGCCUACACAGUGAGGAACAUGAUAGCCCUAAGGAAUUCUAACCUAAAAUCCGACCGUUGCUGUGCCACGCGCCAGCUGUCCAAAAUAUCCUACCACCUAAUGGUCAUAUCAGACAAGGGCAUUUAUGUCUUAUCAUGUUGGGCUGCUCCCUAGGCUAUAAAUAGCCGCCCCCUACAACCACUAGCUAGUUGGCUGCUCCGAGAGAAACUGCCACUUGUCAUUUGAGAGCAUCCCAUCCUCCGAGGACUUUGAGCGAAAAUCAUUAAGUGAGGAAAACCCAAAUCCCAAACCCAAACCUACAAACCCCAAAGUGAUUGAGCAUCACUGAAGAGAUUGUUCCUGUGUGGAACCAACGCUUGUUACCUUUGAGGACUGUGUAUCCUCCAGACGAUUAGGCGUCAUGGUCUGAGCAUGCAAGAGGAAUUGUGGAUUGCCGAGUGACCAAGUCUGUGAAGGUUUGGAAGUCACCUGUGAAGACUUACCACUACUGUUGGGCGAGGUCUAUGUGAUCUUAGCUCAAGGAGAAUAUGGGGAGACUAUGUGUCCGGGACUGUGUGUCCUCGAGUUUGAAUACUCAGCCGCUCCAAUCAGACGUACAACUGUCACAACAGUUGGAACUGGUCUACCAAAUCAUUGUAUUCACCAAGCCAACUGGUUCUAUUUCCUCAGCCCUUUCAUUUCCUCAGUUAUGUGUUGAUGAACCUGAUCAUUACUAAUUGAAGACUUUCAAUGAAGACUUUCUCUAAUUCCUCAAUCCUAUUUCUUCAGUCUGUUUUGUCUUUAUCCUGCUUAUCAUGUGUUUACGCUUUCUGUACUCUAUGUUUGUCUUUCAUUUCAUAAUUAUGACUAUGUUGUUGCUCUGUUAUGCUUAUACAUGAGUACUUAUUCCGCUGCAAGUAGUUCUUCUCUUAGGAAUUUCCUCACCCUGAAAUUCCUCAGUGAAGAAUUCAUAAAAAUCGCCUAUUCACCCCCCCUCUAGUCGACAUAACACACUUUCAGAACCUGUUGAGUACGCUAACGAGGAGCAAGCUUUCGACAACUCUGAGAACUUUGCAGGCAAGAUGACCAUUACCCUCGAUAUCACUUCUAUUUUUGCUUGCUAGUUGCUUCGUUCUAUCGCUAUGCUGUGCUACCUAUCACUUGUUUACCAUGCCUCCCGUAUUGCCAUGUCAAGCCUCCAACCCACCUUCCUAGAAAACCGUUGUUUGGCUAAGUUACCGCUUUUGCUCUGCCCCUCUUAUAGCAUUGUUAGUUGCAGGUGAAGUUGAAUAUUGCUCCAUGUUGGAACAUGUUUAUGUUGGGAUAUCACAAUAUCUCUUAUUUUAAUUAAUGCAUCUAUAUAUUUGGUAAAGGGUGGAAGGCUCGGCCUUAUGCCUGGUGUUUUGUUCCACUCUUCCCGCCUUAGUUUCCGUCAUACCGGUGUUAUGUUCCUUGAUUUUGCGUUCCUUAUACGGUCGGGUUUAUGGGAACCCCUUGAUAGUUUGCUUUGAAUAAAACUCCUCCAGCAAGGCCCAACCUUGGUUUUACAUUUGCCUAACAACCUAUAACUUUUUCCCUUGGGUUCGGCAGACUCAAGGGUCAUCUUUAUUUUACCCCCCCCGGCCAGUGCUUCUCUAAGUGUUGGUCCGAACUGGGCAGCCUGCGGGGCCACCUCAAGGAAACUUGAGGGCUGGUUUUACUUGUAGCUUGUCCCAUCCGGUGUGCCCUGAGAAUGAGAUAUGUGCAGCUCCUAUCGGAAUUUGUCGGCAUAGUCGAGUGGUCUUGCUGGUCUUGUUUUACCAUUGUCGAAAUGUCUUGUAACCGGGAUUCCGAGACUUAUCGGGUCUUUCUGGGAGAAGGAAUAUCCUUCGCUGAUCGUGAGAGCUUGUGAUGGGCUAAGUUGGGACACCCCUGGAGGGUAUAAACUUUCGAGAGCCAUGCCCACGGUUAUGUGGCAGAUGGGAAUUUGCUAAUAUCCGGUUAUAGUGUACUUGACACUUGACUUAAUUAAAAUGCGCCAACCGCGUGUGUAGCCGUGAUGGUCUCUUUUCGGCGGAGUCCGGGAAGUGAACAUGGUUUGGGUUAUGAUUGAACGUAAGUAGUUUCAAGAUCACUUCUUGAUCACCUCUAGCUUCAUGACUGUUGCGUAGCUUCUCAUCUUACUCUUAUUUGCGUAUGUUAGCCACCAUAUUUCUUAGCACUUGUUGCAACUCCACCUCAUUACCACAUCCUACCCAUAAGCUUAAAUAGUCUUGAUCUCGCGGGUUUUGAGAUUGAUGAGUCCUAGUGACUCACAGAUACUACCAAAACAGUUGUCGGUGCCGAUGAUACCAGUGCAUGUGAUGCUACCGAACACAAGUGGGAGUUCGACGAGGACCUUGGCCGUUACUACGUGUCUUUCCCUAAUGAUCAGUAGUGGAGCCCAGUUGGGAAGAUCGGGGAUCUAGCAUUUGGGGUUAUCUUCUUUUCAUUUGGAUUUGUCCAUAGUCGGACUAUGUGUGUACUCCGAAUGAUGUAUGAAUUAUAUGAUCUUUGUGUGAAAUGGCGAUUAUAAGCCAACUCUAUUUAUCCCUUUCUUGUUCAUUACAUGGGAUUGUGUGAAUAUGACCCUUCUUGCGACAAAACCACAAUGCGGUUAUGCCUCUAAGUCGUGCCUCGACACGUGGGAGAUAUAGCCGCAUCGUGGGUGUUACACUAUCAUUGCCAGUUUUAUUGAAAUAAAAGAUGACAAAAAUUAUUCUAAAUAACAUCAAGCAAAUCCUAACAAAAUAAAUUGACGCUCCAAGUAAAACUCAUAUCAUGUGACGAAUGAAAACAUAGCUCCAAGUGAGGUUACCGAUAAUGUUGGAGAUGAAAGAGGGGAUGCCUUCCGGGGCAUCCCAAGCUUAGUUGCUUGGAUCUUCCUUUAAUAUUACCUUGGGGGUGCCUUGAGCGCAAAAGUUUCUGUUUUUCAGCAAGAUCAGAUCAACUAUCACCCAACAUGAUCCCAAAGGCUGUACUUGGCACUUUAUUGAAACAAAAGCAAUAAAAUUGAUUACUACAGUAUCCUAAUCAUGUGAACACACAAAAACAGUAGGGGUAAAUGUUGGAUUGUCUCGCAACAAGUGCUUUUCUUUAAUGCCUUCUAGCUAGGCAUGAUGAUGCUCACAUAAAAGAUGAGAAUUGAAACAUAACAAGAGCAUCAUAAAUCAUAAGUUCCUCUCUCAUAAUAGUUUUCAGUAGCAUCAUGAAUAGAUUCAUCCAUAUAAACAUCACAUAAAGCAUUCUUUUCAUGAUCCAAAAGCAUAAAAAAAUUAUUACUCUUCAUGGGAUACAUGUCAUCAAAAUAAUCAUCAUAAGUAGCAACUUUGUUGUCAUCAUAGUCAAUUGAAACCUCUUCCAAAAUAGUGGAUGCAUCAAUAAAUAAAGUCAUGACCCCUCUGAAUCCACUUUCAUCAUAAAUAGGAGGCAUGCUAUCAUCAUAAUAAUUUAUCUCAUCAAAACUUGGGGGAGUAAAAAUAUCAUCUUCAUCAGACAUAGCAUCCCCAAGCUUGUAGCUUUGCAUAUCAUUAACAUCAUGGAUAUUGAAAGAAUUCAUACUAACAACAUUGCAAUCAUGCUCAUCAUUCAUGCCAAUAUUUUAUUAAAUUCUUCCUCUAUCAAUUGAGCACAAUUUUCCAAACCAUCAUUUUCAAGAAAGAUAUUAUAAAGAUGAUCAAUAAUAUGAUGCAACCUCAAUUCCAUUUUUAUGUGGUUUUCUUUUAUAAACCAAACUAGUGAUAAAACAAGAAACUAAAAGAUGUGCAAGAUCUAAAGAUAUACCUUCAUGCACUCACCUCCCUGGCAACGGCGCUAGAAAAGAGCUUGAUGUCUACUAUGCAAACUUUAUUCUUGUAGACAUGUGUUGGGCCUCCAAACGCAGAGUUUUGUAGGACAAUAGCAAUUUUCCCUCAAGUGGAUGACCUAAGGUUUAUCAAUCUAUGAGAGGUGUAGGAUGAAGAUGGUCUCUCUCAAACAGCCUGCAACCAAAUACAAGAAAUCUCUUGUGUCCCUAACACAGCCAAUACAAUGCCAAAUUGUAUAGGUGCACUAGUUCGGCGAAGAGAUGGUGAUAAAAGUGUAAAAUGGAUGGUAGAAAUAUAUUUUUAUAAUCUGAAUAAAUGAAAAUAGCAAGGUACCAAAAUAGUAAACGGACACAAAAACGGUAUUGCAAUGCUUUAAAAAUGAGGCCUAGGGUGCAUACUUUCACUAGUGCAAUCUCUCAACAAUGCUAACUGCUACCUCUUGAGCACUGCAUUGGUUUUCCCUUGAAGAGGAAAGGGUGAUGCAGCAAAGUAGCAUAAGUAUUUCCCUCAGUUUUUGAGAACCAAGGUAUCAAUCCAGUAGGAGGCUCCUCAAAAGUCCCUCGUACCUACACAAAGAAACAAGAACCUCACAACCAACACGAUAAAGGGGUUGUCAACCCCUUCAUGGUAACUUGCAAAAGUGAGAUCUGAUAGAGAUAAUAAGAUAAGAUAAAUAUUUUGGUAUUUUUAUGAUAUAUAUUGGAAAGUAAGGAUUACAAAAUAAAGAUAGAUUGGAAACUUAUAUGAUAAAACAUAGACCCGGGGGCCAUAGGUUUCACUAGUGGCUUCUCUCAAGAUAGCAUAAGUAUUACGGUGGGUGAACAAAUUACUGUCGAGCAAUUGAUAGAAAAGUGCAUAGUUAUGAGAUUAUCUAGGCAUGAUCAUGUAUAUAGGCAUCACGUCCGUGACAAGUAGGCCGACUCCUGCCUGCAUCUACUACUAUUACUCCACACAUCGACCGACUCCUGCCUACAUCUAGAGUAUUAAGUUCAUAAGAAUAGAGUAACGCAUUAAGAAAGAUGAUAUGAUGUAGAGGGAUAAACUCAAGCAAUAUGAUAUAAACCCCAUCUUUUUAUCCUCGAUGGCAACAAUACAAUACGUGCCUUGCGACCCCUGCUGUCACUGGGAAAGGACACUGCAAGAUUGAACCCAAAGCUAAGCACUUCUCCCAUUGCAAGAAAGAUCAAUCUAGUAGGCCAAACCAAACUGAAAAUUUGAAGAGACUUGCAAAGAUAACUCAAUCAUACAUAAAAGAAUUCAGAGGAGAUUCAAAUAUUUCUCAUAGAUAAACUUGAUCAUAAACCCACAAUUCAUUGGAUCUCGACAAACACACCGCAAAAAGAGUUACAUAGAUCUCCAAGAAGAUCGAGGAGAACUUUGUAUUGAUAUUCAAAGAGAGAGAAGAAGCCAUCUAGCUAAUAAUGAUGGACCCGAAGGUCUAUGGUAAACUACUCCCAACUCAUCGGAGAGGCCUUGGUGAUGAUGUAGAGGCCCUCCAUGGUCGAUUCCCCCUCCGUCGGAGCGCCGGCGAAGGCUCCAAGAUGGGAUCUCGCGGAUACAUAAGGUUGCGGCGGUGGAAAUAGUUUUUCGUGGUGCUCCUGGAUGUUCUUGGGGUACGUGGAUAUAUAUAGGAGGAAGAAGUAGGUCGGUUGAGCCACGAGGGGCCCACGAGGGUGGGGGCGCGCCCACCCCCCUAGGGCACACCGGGCACCCUCGUGGCCGCCUCGUUUGCUACUUGACGUCCAGUCCAAGUCUCCUGGAUUGCGUUUGUUCCAAAAAGAUUUCUCCUGAAGGUUUCAUUCCGUUUGGACUCCAUUUGAUAAUCCUUUUCUUCGAAACACUGAAAUAGGCAAAAAAAACAGCAAUUCGGGCUGGGCCUCCGGUUAGUAGGUUAGUCCCAAAAAUGAUAUAAAAGUGUAGAGUAAAGCCCAUAAACAUACAAAAUGGGUAAUAUAAUCGCAUGGAACAAUCAAAAAUUAUAGAUAUGUUGGAGACCUAUCAAGCAUCCCCAAGCUUAAUUCCUGCUCGUCCUCGAGUAGGUAAAUGAUAAAAAUAGAAUUUUUGAUGUGGAAUGCUACCUAGCAUAUUUCUCAAUGUAAUUUUCUUUAUUGUGGCAUGAAUGUUCAGAUCCAAAUGAUUCAAGACAAAAGUUCAUAUUGACAUAAGAACUAGUAAUACUUCAAGCAUACUAACAAGGCAAUCAUGUCUUCUCAAAAUAACAUGGCUAAAGAAAGUUCAUCCCUAGAAAAUCAUAUAGUUAGGCUAUGUUUCAUUUUCAUCACACAAAAGUACUCCCAUCAUGCACAACCCCGGUUUCAGCCAAGCAAUUGGUUCAUACUUUUUAAUGCGCUUCAGCUUUUUUCAACUCUCACGCAAUACAUGAGCGCGAGCCAUGGAUAUAGCACUAUGGGUGGAAUAGAAUAUGAUGGUGGAGGUUGUGUGGAGAAGACAGAAAAGGAGAAAGUCUCACAUUGACGAGGCUAAUCAACGGGCUAUGGAUAUGCCCAUCAAUUGAUGUCAACAUGAGGUGUAGGGAUUGCCAUGCAACGGAUGCACUAGAGCUAUAAAUGUAUGAAAGCUCAACAAAAGAAACUAAGUGGGUGUGCAUCCAACUUGCUUGCUCACGAAGACCUAGGGCAUUUUGAGGAAGCCCAUCAUUGGAAUAUACAAUCCAAGUUCUAUAAUGAAAAAUUCCCACUAGUAUAUGAAAGUGACAACAUAGGAGACUCUCUAUAUGAAGAACAUGGUGCUACUUUGAAGCACAAGUGUGGAAAAAGAUAGUAACAUUGGCCCCCUUUUUUAUUUUCUUUUCUUUUUAUUUUUUUGGGCCCUUUUUUUAUUUGGCCUUUCUUUUUUUUUCUUUGCCUUUUUUAUUUGGCCUUUCUUUUUUUCUUUGCCUUUUUUAUUUGGCCUUUCUUUUUUUUAUAGGGGACAAUGCUCUAAUAAUGAUGAUCAUCACACUUCUAUUUAUUUACAACUCAUGAAUUACAACUCGAUACUAGAACAAAAUAUGACUCUAUAUGAAUGCCUCCGGUGGUGUACCGGGAUAUGCAAUGAAUCAAGAGCGACAUGUAUGAAAAAUUAUGAAGGUGGUUUUGCCACAAAUACGAUGUCAACUACAUGAUCAUGCAAAAGCAAUAUAACA
This 16924-nucleotide long non-coding RNA is filed under the name Triticum aestivum (bread wheat). RNAcentral's name for it is "long non-coding RNA (TAES_LNC027362)". The record is from RNAcentral. Lineage: Eukaryota; Viridiplantae; Streptophyta; Magnoliopsida; Poales; Poaceae.